GGAGGUUAGUGCAAUGGCAUAAGCCAGCUUGACUGCGAGCGUGACGGCGCGAGCAGGUGCGAAAGCAGGUCAUAGUGAUCCGGUGGUUCUGAAUGGAAGGGCCAUCGCUCAACGGAUAAAAGGUACUCCGGGGAUAACAGGCUGAUACCGCCCAAGAGUUCAUAUCGACGGCGGUGUUUGGCACCUCGAUGUCGGCUCAUCACAUCCUGGGGCUGAAGUAGGUCCCAAGGGUAUGGCUGUUCGCCAUUUAAAGUGGUACGCGAGCUGGGUUUAGAACGUCGUGAGACAGUUCGGUCCCUAUCUGCCGUGGGCGCUGGAGAACUGAGGGGGGCUGCUCCUAGUACGAGAGGACCGGAGUGGACGCAUCACUGGUGUUCGGGUUGUCAUGCCAAUGGCACUGCCCGGUAGCUAAAUGCGGAAGAGAUAAGUGCUGAAAGCAUCUAAGCACGAAACUUGCCCCGAGAUG
Molecule: ribosomal RNA, 466 nt
Filed under: Escherichia coli
Lineage: Bacteria; Pseudomonadati; Pseudomonadota; Gammaproteobacteria; Enterobacterales; Enterobacteriaceae
Description: partial 23S ribosomal RNA
Rfam family: Bacterial large subunit ribosomal RNA
Source: RNAcentral